AAGUCGUAACAAGGUCUCCGUUGGUGAACCAGCGGAGGGAUCAUUACAGAGUUGCAAAACUCCCAACCAUUGUGAACCUACCUCACCGUUGCUUCGGCGGGUGGCCCGGGGCAACCCAGGCCGCGCCGGCCCCCCUCUUCGGGGGGCCCAGCAAGCCCGUCAGAGGACCGAAACCCUGUAAUUACUGGCCUCUCUGAGUAACUUAUACAAUAAGUCAAAACUUUCAACAACGGAUCUCUUGGUUCUG
RNAcentral lists this unclassified non-coding RNA (247 nucleotides) under fungal sp. Its description in RNAcentral is "partial internal transcribed spacer region". The stretch from base 1 to 46 matches the Rfam family "Eukaryotic small subunit ribosomal RNA", at positions 1786 to 1831 of the family's 1831-position model. Lineage: Eukaryota; Fungi. The record is from RNAcentral.